Neopelma chrysocephalum (saffron-crested tyrant-manakin) is the source of this 118-nucleotide long non-coding RNA. RefSeq lists it as uncharacterized. The record is from RefSeq and is a predicted model, not a curated record. Lineage: Eukaryota; Metazoa; Chordata; Aves; Passeriformes; Pipridae. The transcript has 3 exons.
AAAUCCUGCUUUUCAAAAAUGACACACUGAGCUAUAUUCAAAUUUCACACAGUGCUACUAAAACCCUGCAACUCCCUCCAGAUGAUCUAUUUCUUGUCUAAGUCAUCAUAUCAGCCUG